AAUGAUUGGAUUUUUUUUCAUGAUUAUUCUUAAUCAAUACAUUCAUACUGAUUCUCACAUUAUCAUUGAAUUACUUUCCUGUUCUCUAAAAACUACAAAACUUGUAUCUACUGAGAGAGUCCUAAUUCCCUUAAUGAAAUGUCAACUUUCUAGAUGUGUUGCAGGAACCUAAUCAACAAACAUUUGCCUAGUAUAUCCACAACUGAAGCACAUAAG
This 216-nucleotide unclassified non-coding RNA is filed under the name Hevea brasiliensis (rubber tree). Lineage: Eukaryota; Viridiplantae; Streptophyta; Magnoliopsida; Malpighiales; Euphorbiaceae. The record is from RNAcentral.